Macrobrachium nipponense is the source of this 1940-nucleotide long non-coding RNA. RefSeq lists it as uncharacterized. NCBI's taxonomy places the organism in Eukaryota, Metazoa, Arthropoda, Malacostraca, Decapoda, Palaemonidae. The transcript has 3 exons. The record is from RefSeq and is a predicted model, not a curated record.
AACAGAACACGCAAAACUGACCAUUUAGAUCAGUGCUUCUGUGACCAGUUUGGUUACCGGAAUUGGUGGUUGAUCAUGACGAUUCUUUGGCCCGCUGUGUGACUUGAAGACAUAUCUUGAACCUGCAGCUCACAGACUGAGCAUGAAGAACUGCUGUCAUCCUAGGAGGAAAAAGAGAAUCCAGGAGACUUCCUUUGCCAAGAUGAUUAAAUUUUCUAAGGGGGAUGUCAUAACUGAACGAAAAUAGCCUCAUCCAUCAAUAGUCUUAUUUCGGCAUGAAAAUCUUCAGACAUCUGUUGGACCACAUUGAAAUCUCAGCAUGGAAAUCUUCAGACAUAAGUUGGACAACAUUGAAUCAAGAACCAUGAAGAGCCUUUGUUUAAACUCUGUAAUAUCUUGAGCAGAUAUUACAGUUACCUGGAGUUAUUGGGUCAAGAAGACAUAAGCACUUAACACUAUGUAUAGUAUUUCAACAUUUUCAUACUAUCAUAAAUAUUCACGUACAUGCUCUUAUAAACUAAACAAAAAAAAAAAUGCUAAACUUUAUGAACUGUUGUCAUUUAAGUCAGGCAGAAAUGAAAAGUAAAAAUCACUAGGUUCAACUUUUGGGUUCAGUGAAGGGUUCCUUCCACAAUCACAAUUUAGGUUCCCCUUGUAUUUCAUGUCGUGCCUGGAAUCAUAUUAUCUUUGGAGUCUCCAAAAUCCCAGUUACAAAGAUGGCACUAUCACUGUCAAUCAAAAUCAUUGUCACUGAAUCUCUCCACUGAGGGUUCUACAACUGUCACUACAGAUUUCUCAUCCCUGACAACAAUGCAAAGAAGCGCUCAUCCACAAAGUUGAAGGGUUAUUCUGUUAGUACCCAGUAAGUAUGCUAUUAAUUUCAUAAAUGGGAACCAUUUGUUCAACCUUGCUCAAUUUAUUCUUACAGAAGCCCAUAAAAACGUUAUUUCCAUUUGGAAUUUCCCCCAAAAAGUGCCACUUGAGUGUUUUACGGUCCAAAAGGUUCUUGCAAUGGUAAGAAUAUGUAACUGCAAUAAUUAUGAUCUGCUAUAAAGUUAGCCUACACCUCUGGCCAUUAAGAAAUAAGUAGAAUUAAAGGUCUUGUAGUUAAAUGGAAAUUGUACAGUGGUAAUAUGUCAGCAGGGCGAGGAUCUUGGAGAAAAUAUUCAUCAGUGAAUGAAUGACUCUUUCCCCUAAACUUAAGUACCAUAUAAACCAUAUGUCCUUUUUGGGCGUUUCCCCAUAUCGGAUUACCAAUCUAUUUAUUUUUUCUCGGCGCUGGAGAUCUCUCAAGACCUUUUUGUCUCAGAAUCCAAUAAAAAUCUAUUAGUACCCAUUUUUCAGUCACAUUGAAACUUGAAAUAGGCAGAGCACUUCUUGAAUCACACACACCUAUGUGCCCCUCUGCAUUGCAUUUCAUGCUCAUUCUCACUCAUUCCUUUUUGUUGCCUUAAUCACCCAUACCCUUACUCCCAUUGAGUGAUGAAUCUCUCUCUCUCUCUCGCGCGCUUUUUUCCUGUAGGAGGGUAGUGCCACUAUUGCAUCUCACACGAUAUACUGUAGGCAUUACGUACUACUUAAGUUUCUUUCUUGCAGCGUCCCUAAGCUCCUCCUCAUUCCUUUGACUGUACCACCAUUCCUAUUCUCUUUUUCCAGCAUACUUUCGACCCUCUCCUAACCAUUGUUUUAUAGUGCAAGAAGAUUGAGGUUUCCCCCUGUUACUCCUUUGAAACCUGUUUUACUCUCAAUCUUCCUGUCUGCGCUGAAUGACCUCAUAUAGGCCCCAGUGCUUGCUCUUUGGGCCAACCUUGUAUUCUAAUUCUAAUAACCUUUUACAUAAUUUCACUGCUUACCUUCCUGGGGCUCUAGAUCGUCGUUGCAAGUCUGUUAUUGGACUAGGAAAAAAGAACUUGUCAUGCCAGUGCACUUGAGUUAGUCAG